RNAcentral lists this ribosomal RNA (207 nucleotides) under uncultured bacterium. RNAcentral's name for it is "partial 16S ribosomal RNA". It matches the Rfam family "Bacterial small subunit ribosomal RNA", at positions 568 to 774 of the family's 1533-position model. The record is from RNAcentral.
CGCGUAGGUGGUUAUGUAAGUGAGAUGUGAAAUCCCCGGGCUCAACCUGGGAACUGCGUCUUAUACUGCAUAGCUGGAGUACAUGAGAGGGUAGUGGAAUUUCCGGUGUAGCGGUGAAAUGCGUAGAUAUCGGAAGGAACACCAGUGGCGAAGGCGGCUACCUGGCAUGAUACUGACACUGAGGCGCGAGAGCGUGGGGAGCAAACA